CGAAAGUCCUCCCUCCUUUAGACCUACCCAGCUUGUGUACUGCCGUCGUAAGCACACCUCUAAAAGCCAAAGUAUGCAAUAAUGAUAUAUUCAUUUACGUCAGGUCAAAGUGCAGCUCAUGAGGAGGUGACGAUGGGUUACACCCUAUAAUAAAGAUACGGAUUGUGUUAUCAAAAAACACAUGAAGGUGGACUUGACUGUAAUAUUAUUACAAAAUUAUAAUGAAACUGAAUCUAAGACAUGCACACAUCGCCCGUCACUCUUGCCUAAAGGCGAGAUAAGUCGUAACAAAGUAGGUGUAACGGAAGUUGCACCUGU
This 318-nucleotide ribosomal RNA is filed under the name Aporrectodea georgii. RNAcentral describes it as "partial 12S ribosomal RNA". It matches the Rfam family "Bacterial small subunit ribosomal RNA", at positions 1002 to 1520 of the family's 1533-position model. Lineage: Eukaryota; Metazoa; Annelida; Clitellata; Crassiclitellata; Lumbricidae. The record is from RNAcentral.